Molecule: long non-coding RNA, 1149 nt
Organism: Dendroctonus ponderosae (mountain pine beetle)
Lineage: Eukaryota; Metazoa; Arthropoda; Insecta; Coleoptera; Curculionidae
Exons: 2
Source: RefSeq, a predicted model, not a curated record
UCAACACCAACAGAAAUAAUGGACUCUCUCCCACUAAAAAACCACCGUGUAUGUUAGCUUUUACACUGCAUUUUGAUGCCAAAAUUGCCUUUCAAUUUUAACAACAUUUUUAAACAGAUUUUUUGAAUUAAUUUAUCGAGGUGGUUAUUUAAAAGUAUCCCCGAAUCUCGGGCAAAAUCGUAACAGAGUUUCAAUGUUUUCUCCUAAUUUUGGCGUGUAAAUUUAAUGUGUGGCGUGUAAGUUUUGGAUUAAAAAAAACUGUGUUUUAAGCUGUCCUGACUAUAAUAAAAAAUCCCCGAAAUCCCAAAAAAUCGGAACAGAGCUUUAAAUUUUCUGCCAACAGAGCGUUAAUCACUCUAUUUAGGAGUGUUUGGCGCAAUUCUGUAUCUUGUUUAGAUUGAGGUAUGAAUUUUAUCUUAAAUACACUUGCCUAACAUUUGUUUAAUGCGUCUGCAUUCUAGUUUACUUCUUAUCUCUGAAUCAUCUGAAUAUGCUGAUAUUUAUUUAUUUAUUUACUUUAUGACUAAUAAUACUAGGUUCGAAUAGAAGUUCUUAGGAAAUAAUCUACUGGGACCUGUAAGAUUAUUUUCAUUCAGAACAUUUAUUUCGAUAAUAGAGAUAAUUCGAUAAGAGAUUAUACUAUAAUAAAUAAAGAGUAUAAUUUGUGCGUGGCGGUGAUUCGGCUCACUUUAAGUUCUAAGCCAGCUGCGUCGCACUUUCCUACCACACUGUUCAAACUCCGCUGUAGAUCUUCUGAGCUAGAGGCCAGCAAAAGCGUGUCAUCCGCGUACCGCAUGUUAUUUAUCAAUUCGCCAUUAACGACAAUGCCCACUGCUGCCUCCGAACAUGCAUCUUUGAAAAUUUUCUCUGAGUAUACAUUGAAGAGCAACGGAGAUAGGAUGCACCCUUGCCUUACGCCACGCUUGAUGGUUACUACUGGCGUGGUGGCACAGAACAUACCCCCUUAGAAUGGAAACUGCAAUGAUAGGUUAUGGAGAUAAAUUCAGCACACAAACUAUGGGAAUGUGAGGAAUUUUUCCGAUAUUUGACUCCUAAUGAUUGCAUUCACCAAAUAUAUCGGGUCAAUAAAAAAACCCUGUUAUGUAAUAUUUUAUUCAAUACGUAGUCAAUAAAUCAGUUACAACCAUG